Danio rerio (zebrafish) is the source of this 2431-nucleotide non-coding RNA. Lineage: Eukaryota; Metazoa; Chordata; Actinopteri; Cypriniformes; Danionidae. The record is from Ensembl.
CUCACCCAGCCGGCACACGACCGACCUUCAACGUUGAAAUAUGGUUGAAAUAAGGUCAGAUGCGUUUUGAACGUUGAAAUAAUGUUGAUAGAACGUUUAAUGUUGAACGGUUGAAAAACAGCCUGCAUAUGACAAGGCUUCAACGUUGAAAUGUGGUUGAAAAUACGUCAGUUGUUGCUUUAAUGUUGAAACAAUGUUGAAUGAUAAAUGGUUGAAAAAAGUUACAGAAAUCCUUGUACAAAUCAACGUUGGCAUUUUUUUUAUCAUGAUCUGUAUGUUGAAUUAACGUCAUGGCUUCACCCAAUAUUCAACAUGUUUGGUUACCAUGGUAUCGGAGGACUCGGCGCACGCGGCCACGCGCAGCGCUUCACUUCACUUAAUUACGAACACCUGACCUGCAGUGCAGCAGAAUUCAGAGACAUGUAACUUAACGUACUCCAGAGACGCAAUAACUUGCACAGCAUUGAAUGGAAAAGGCUUUGUCCAUGUCCAGUUGAGGGCAUCAAGAACACGCAGAUAGCCUAAACCUGUGUCAGCCUGGACAGACUUCAGUUCUGCUAUUCAACGCCAAGGCUUUUGUAUGGAUGUCUGACUACUACUGUGUUCUCUAAAGGUUUUCUGGAAGCUCCAUUUGAGGGCAUCAAGGACAUACUGAUGGCCUAAACCAGUGUCAGCCUAGACAGACAGACAUCUAUUGCAGUUCUGCUACACAAGACCAAACUCUCUGCUUUUGUAUGGAUGUCUGACUAGUACGGUGUUCUCUAAAGGUAUAACUGGAGCAAAACAACAGCAUCCGUUACAGUGAAAUUUGUGUUCAUAAAAGAUAGUGAUAUGUGUAACAGGUCCAGUACAUUUGUCAUAAAGGUUAAAUCACAGUAAGUACUGUAAAAAUAACUUGUUUGCCUCUGCCACAACAGGUCAUGGUGUGUGCUUACUGCUCGUAGUAAACACACACGCUGAUCUGAUGCGGGAGAGAUAUAUGCAAACAUAUUUGUAUUUACUGUUUUGUUUUGCCUCACUAAAGUGUUGUUGGAGCUUGGUAUGUUCACAGUUGAAAUCACUAAAGUCACAUGGAACGUUUUGACAAUGUGUUUUGUGCCUUAUCUGGACAAUGACCAUCUUGGGACCAUUGCUGUCUGUAGAGGAUGAGGAGCAUUUAAUCUAAAAUAUUUUAGUUUGUGUUCUGAAGAUUAACAGGUCUCUGGGAUGACACAAGUAAUUAAUAACAGAACCUAUAUGAACACUUAAUGUGACAUGUAAUAGUGAAAUAGUGGUCCUACAUUCACAAAUGUGAGCCAUUAUUAUAAGACCCAUGUGAACAUGCAAUUUUUAUGAUACUAAUAAUAAUGGAAUAACAAAUUGCUAUUACUGUUGUGUUUGUGAGAGAGAAUCAAACCAUAUAUUCUACACAUUUUCUUGAUGAUUUACUGAAAUAUUUGUCUACAUGUUCCACUGUCACAGGUGCUCAGUUUUGCUGCAGUAAUGCUAAACACAAUAGAUGUACUUUAUGCAAAAAAAAAAAAAAAACUACUAAAUAUUUAGCAUGCAGACCUGCAAAGUGAAGGAGUAAUGUCAGGUUUAGAUUAUAGCAUGAGUUUUCACUAUUGUGAAUGUGAAGCCAUUCAUUCACAAUGAAUUGGAAUAGCAAACCUCAUUAUUGAUUUUGUAGGAAACUCACCUGGUGUUUGAGAAAUAAAUAUGUAUUUAACUGCUAGACUGAUAUAGAUGUUUUAGUGUUUUACACUUCAUUCUUUGUCCCCAGUGCCAUCUUUUACCUCAAGUGUUUCUCUCAACCUAUAAAACCUCAAACAGAUGUAAUGUAUUUCACUUGUGAUUCUUAGUUGUGAGUGAUGUUUUUUAUAUUAUUUUUUUUUACUGCAGCCACUUUAAAAAUGGGUAUUUUGUAAACUUUGUAAACUUUGUAAACGGAAUUGUAUUUUGGAGACUGUGAUGGUUGAAGCGUAGUUUAGUUACUUAGUUUAAUUUAGUUAGCAUCUGUCUUUCUGAAGACGGUAACACUUUACAAAAAGGUUGUAUUAGUAAGUGUUAAUGUAUUUACUAACAUGAACAAAGAACAAUGAAGUAUCUUUCAUAUAAAGAAAGUACAGUUCAUGUCAGCUCAGUGCAUUAAUGUUAACAAGCAUACAUUUUGAUUUUAAUAGCAUCGGGACAUAUUUCAAUUAAUUAAAUGAUUAAUAAAUGCUGUACAAGUAUUUGUUCUUUGUUCAUGUUAGUAAACAUUAACUAACUUUAAUUCAUGAAACCUAAUUAAAAAGUGACUAUUUAAUUGUAUGCCUUUUUCUGUAUUUGAGUGUACAGCAUGUAUAGUAACCUGCAUGGUUUUGAUGAACUGUAUGCUGUAAAUGUUGCUGUAUAUUUAGAAUAAAUGAAAUAAUGAGGUGUGUAUUAAAUAAAUUGAUACACAGGCUAA